GAUGAAGAACGCAGCGAAAUGCGAUAAGUAGUGUGAAUUGCAGAAUUCAGUGAAUCAUCGAAUCUUUGAACGCACAUUGCGCCCCUUGGUAUUCCAUGGGGCAUGCCUGUUCGAGCGUCAUUUGUAUCUUAAGCUUUGCUUAGUGUUGGGUGAUUGUCUGCAUGUAGUGCAGACUCGCCUUGAAUCUAUUGGCCGCCGAUAGUCUAGUAUGCGAGCGCAGCACAUUUGCGCACCGUACCCGUCUUAUUAGCCACCAUCAAGUACAAUAUCAACGUUUGACCUCGGAUCAGGUAGGGAUACCCGCUGAACUUAAGCAUAUCAAUAAGCGGAGGA
This 333-nucleotide unclassified non-coding RNA is filed under the name soil metagenome. RNAcentral's name for it is "partial contains 5.8S ribosomal RNA, internal transcribed spacer 2, and large subunit ribosomal RNA". The stretch from base 1 to 120 matches the Rfam family "5.8S ribosomal RNA", at positions 35 to 154 of the family's 154-position model. The record is from RNAcentral.